CCCUGACAGUCGCAAUGUGCGGCUGACAUUUGCCACGACAGGAGAUUAUCAUG
This 53-nucleotide non-coding RNA is filed under the name unclassified sequences. The record is from Rfam.